This 427-nucleotide ribosomal RNA is filed under the name uncultured bacterium. Its description in RNAcentral is "partial 16S ribosomal RNA". It matches the Rfam family "Bacterial small subunit ribosomal RNA", at positions 355 to 774 of the family's 1533-position model. The record is from RNAcentral.
UGGGGAAUAUUGCACAAUGGGCGCAAGCCUGAUGCAGCCAUGCCGCGUGUAUGAAGAAGGCCUUCGGGUUGUAAAGUACUUUCAGCGGGGAGGAAGGUGUUGUGGUUAUUAACCGCAGCAAUUGACGUUACCCGCAGAAGAAGCACCGGCUAACUCCGUGCCAGCAGCCGCGGUAAUACGGAGGGUGCAAGCGUUAAUCGGAAUUACUGGGCGUAAAGCGCACGCAGGCGGUCUGUCAAGUCGGAUGUGAAAUCCCCGGGCUCAACCUGGGAACUGCAUUCGAAACUGGCAGGCUAGAGUCUUGUAGAGGGGGGUAGAAUUCCAGGUGUAGCGGUGAAAUGCGUAGAGAUCUGGAGGAAUACCGGUGGCGAAGGCGGCCCCCUGGACAAAGACUGACGCUCAGGUGCGAAAGCGUGGGGAGCAAACA